Molecule: ribosomal RNA, 460 nt
Filed under: uncultured bacterium
Lineage: Bacteria
Description: partial 16S ribosomal RNA
Rfam family: Bacterial small subunit ribosomal RNA
Source: RNAcentral
CCUACGGGUGGCAGCAGUGAGGAAUAUUGGUCAAUGGACGAGAGUCUGAACCAGCCAAGUAGCGUGAAGGAUGACUGCACUAUGGGUUGUAAACUUCUUUUAUAUGGGAAUAAAAUGUUCCACGUGUGGGAUUUUGUAUGUACCAUAUGAAUAAGGAUCGGCUAACUCCGUGCCAGCAGCCGCGGUAAUACGGAGGAUCCGAGCGUUAUCCGGAUUUAUUGGGUUGAAAGGGAGCGUAGGUGGAUUGUUAAGUCAGUUGUGAAAGUUUGCGGCUCAACCGUAAAAUUGCAGUUGAAACUGGCAGUCUUGAGUACAGUAGAGGUGGGCGGAAUUCGUGGUGUAGCGGUGAAAUGCUUAGAUAUCACGAAGAACUCCGAUUGCGAAGGCAGUUCACUGGACUGCAACUGACACUGAGGCUCGAAAGUGUGGGUAUCAAACAGGAUUAGAUACCCGAGUAGUC